GACGAACGCUGGCGGCGUGCUUAACACAUGCAAGUCGAACGGAAAGGCCCUGAUUUUGCUGCGUUCUCGAGAGGCGAACGGGUGAGUAACACGCGAGUAUCCUCCCCUUGACUUUGGGAUAAAUUCAGGGAAAUCGGGCUAUUACCGCGUAGGAGCUUUUGCUGCACGGUGGUGGUUGGUAAGUUUCGGCGGUUGUGGAUCGACUCGAGGGUUACCAGCUGGUUGGUCUAGUAGUUGCUUACAAGGGCUUUGACGGGUAGCCGGCAUGAGAGGGGGGCCGGCCACAAUAGGACUGAGGUACGGCCCAGACGCCUACGGGAGGCAGCGGUCGGGAGUAUUGCACAAUGGGGGGAAGUCUGAGGCAGCAACGUCGCGUGCGUGAUGACGGCUUUCGGGUUGUAAACCGAUGUCGCAUGUGACGAAGCGUGAGUGACGGUAAUGAGUAAAGAAGCACCGGCUAACUACGUG
This 468-nucleotide ribosomal RNA is filed under the name uncultured bacterium. RNAcentral's name for it is "partial 16S ribosomal RNA". It matches the Rfam family "Bacterial small subunit ribosomal RNA", at positions 28 to 507 of the family's 1533-position model. The record is from RNAcentral.